This 669-nucleotide ribosomal RNA is filed under the name Salmonella enterica subsp. enterica serovar Javiana. RNAcentral's name for it is "bacterial LSU rRNA". It matches the Rfam family "Bacterial large subunit ribosomal RNA", at positions 163 to 789 of the family's 2925-position model. The record is from RNAcentral. Lineage: Bacteria; Pseudomonadati; Pseudomonadota; Gammaproteobacteria; Enterobacterales; Enterobacteriaceae.
CACAUAGGGCGGGUAGAGGGAACGUGGGGAAGUGAAACAUCUCAGUACCCACAGGAAGAGAAAGCAACCGCGAUUCCGUGAGUAGUGGCGAGCGAAAGCGGAAGAGGCUAAACCUCAGUUGUGUGAUACCUGUCAGGGGUUGCAGCUGGGGGGUCGUGGGACUUUUCGGUCAGUGCUGACACGCUGGCAUGGAGUCAGAAAUGCGCGUUGUAGUCGAAGGGCAUUGAAAGGCCCGGCACAGAGGGUGCUACCCCCGUAGACGAAACGAUGCGCACUCCAGAGAAGUAUCCCAAGUAGCACGGGGCCCGAGAAAUCCCGUGUGAAUCUGGCGGGACCACCCGCUAAGCCUAAAUAUUCCCUGGUGACCGAUAGCGGACAAGUACCGUGAGGGAAAGGUGAAAAGUACCCCGGGAGGGGAGUGAAAUAGAUCCUGAAACCGUGUGCCUACAAUCCGUCGGAGCCUCCUUGUGGGGUGACGGCGUGCCUUUUGAAGAAUGAGCCUGCGAGUUAGUGCUCAGUGGCGAGGUUAACCCGUGUGGGGAAGCCGUAGCGAAAGCGAGUCCGAAUAGGGCGUUUUAGUCGCUGGGUCUAGACCCGAAGCGGAGUGAUCUACCCAUGGCCAGGUUGAAGCGACGGUAAGACGUCGUGGAGGACCGAACCCACUUAGGU